Molecule: transfer RNA, 74 nt
Filed under: Chitinophagia bacterium
Lineage: Bacteria; Pseudomonadati; Bacteroidota; Chitinophagia
Description: tRNA-Cys
Rfam family: tRNA
About the family: Transfer RNA (tRNA) molecules are approximately 80 nucleotides in length. Their secondary structure includes four short double-helical elements and three loops (D, anti-codon, and T loops). Further hydrogen bonds mediate the characteristic L-shaped molecular structure. tRNAs have two regions of fundamental functional importance: the anti-codon, which is responsible for specific mRNA codon recognition, and the 3' end, to which the tRNAs corresponding amino acid is attached (by aminoacyl-tRNA synthetases). tRNAs cope with the degeneracy of the genetic code in two manners: having more than one tRNA (with a specific anti-codon) for a particular amino acid; and 'wobble' base-pairing, i.e. permitting non-standard base-pairing at the 3rd anti-codon position.
Source: RNAcentral
GGUCCUGUGGCCGAGUGGCUAGGCAGAGCUCUGCAAAAGCUUCCACAGCGGUUCGAAUCCGCUCUCGACCUCAA